AUUGAACGCUGGCGGAAUGCUUUACACAUGCAAGUCGAACGGUAGAGGGGGCAACCCCUUGAGAGUGGCGAACGGGUGCGUAAUAUAUCGGAACGUGCCCAGUCGUGGGGGAUAACGUAGCGAAAGUUACGCUAAUACCGCAUACGAUCUAAGGAUGAAAGCGGGGGAUCGCAAGACCUCGCGCGACUGGAGCGGCCGAUAUCAGAUUAGGUAGUUGGUAGGGUAAAGGCCUACCAAGCCAACGAUCUGUAGCUGGUCUGAGAGGACGACCAGCCACACUGGAACUGAGACACGGUCCAGACUCCUACGGGAGGCAGCAGUGGGGAAUUUUGGACAAUGGGCGAAAGCCUGAUCCAGCCAUUCCGCGUGCAGGAUGAAGGCCCUCGGGUUGUAAACUGCUUUUGUACAGAACGAAAAGGUUUCUAUUAAUACUAGGAGCUCAUGACGGUACUGUAAGAAUAAGCACCGGCUAACUACGUG
This 480-nucleotide ribosomal RNA is filed under the name uncultured bacterium. Its description in RNAcentral is "partial 16S ribosomal RNA". It matches the Rfam family "Bacterial small subunit ribosomal RNA", at positions 30 to 507 of the family's 1533-position model. The record is from RNAcentral.